RNAcentral lists this ribosomal RNA (207 nucleotides) under uncultured bacterium. RNAcentral's name for it is "partial 16S ribosomal RNA". It matches the Rfam family "Bacterial small subunit ribosomal RNA", at positions 568 to 774 of the family's 1533-position model. The record is from RNAcentral.
CGUGUAGGCGGCCAGGUAGGUCGGUUGUGAAAACUGGAGGCUCAACCUUCAGACGUCGACCGAAACCAUCUGGCUAGAGUCCGGGAGAGGAGAGUGGAAUUCCUGGUGUAGCGGUGAAAUGCGCAGAUAUCAGGAAGAACACCCGUGGCGAAAGCGGCUCUCUGGAACGGUACUGACGCUGAGACGCGAAAGCGUGGGGAGCGAACA